UACGUAGGGGGCAAGCGUUAUCCGGAAUUACUGGGCGUAAAGGGUGCGUAGGUGGCCCUGUAAGUCAAAGGUGUAAGGCUACGGCUCAACCGUAGUAAGCCUUUGAAACUGUAGGGCUUGAGUGCAGGAGAGGAAAGUGGAAUUCCCAGUGUAGCGGUGAAAUGCGUAGAUAUUGGGAGGAACACCAGUUGCGAAGGCGGCUUUCUGGACUGUAACUGACACUGAGGCACGAAAGCGUGGGGAGCGAACAGG
RNAcentral lists this ribosomal RNA (252 nucleotides) under uncultured Tepidibacter sp. RNAcentral's name for it is "partial 16S ribosomal RNA". It matches the Rfam family "Bacterial small subunit ribosomal RNA", at positions 524 to 776 of the family's 1533-position model. The record is from RNAcentral. Lineage: Bacteria; Bacillati; Bacillota; Clostridia; Peptostreptococcales; Peptostreptococcaceae.